This 328-nucleotide ribosomal RNA is filed under the name uncultured eukaryote. Its description in RNAcentral is "partial 18S ribosomal RNA". It matches the Rfam family "Eukaryotic small subunit ribosomal RNA", at positions 1470 to 1796 of the family's 1831-position model. The record is from RNAcentral.
CCCUUAGAUGUCCUGGGCCGCACACGCGCUACACUGAUGCAUGCAACGAGUUUAUAACCUUGGCCUGAAAGGUCUGGGUAAUCUUUUGAACGUGCAUCGUGAUAGGGAUAGAUUAUUGCAAUUGUUAAUCUUGAACGAGGAAUUCCUAGUAAACGCGAGUCAUCAGCUCGCAUUGAUUACGUCCCUGCCCUUUGUACACACCGCCCGUCGCACCUACCGAUUGAAUGGUUCGGUGAAGAUCUCGGACUUCGAUAUUUAUUCUUUAUUGAGUUUAUAUUGUGGGAAGUUAUCUAAACCUCAUCAUUUAGAGGAAGGUGAAGUCGUAACA